CGCACUUAUGCUGUCUCCAGAGGAGAACUGGCACUCGGGAGAGUGUGGUUAGGUUCUAACUGGAAGGCAAUUCUCUUUUGUGUGUACAUACCCCAACGAGAGAAGGAUGGUUGGCCAUCAUGUGACUCAAGUUAUGAGUGAGAAAAUCUGCUGUGAGCCAGGCUGGGUGGUGCACCUGUAAUCCCAACACUCAAGGAGCCUGAAGCCCAAGGAUCAUGAAUUUGGGUCCAACCUGUACAACAUAGCCAGAACACUGAUGAUAUCUGCCUGGAAAUUUGUAUGUGACUUGAAGAUAGAUGUUUUCAUUUUUUCCUUUGGUAACCUAGUUUUAAUUUAUUUCUUUU
RNAcentral lists this long non-coding RNA (344 nucleotides) under Cricetulus griseus (Chinese hamster). Its description in RNAcentral is "lncRNA (ENSCGRG00015031555.1)". Lineage: Eukaryota; Metazoa; Chordata; Mammalia; Rodentia; Cricetidae. The record is from RNAcentral.